CCUGAUGGCUCAGAUGGUAAAGAAUCUGCCUGCAAAGCAGGAGACCUGGGUUCAAUCCUUGAGUCAGGA
RNAcentral lists this transfer RNA (69 nucleotides) under Bos taurus (domestic cattle). It matches the Rfam family "tRNA". From Rfam's summary of the family: Transfer RNA (tRNA) molecules are approximately 80 nucleotides in length. Their secondary structure includes four short double-helical elements and three loops (D, anti-codon, and T loops). Further hydrogen bonds mediate the characteristic L-shaped molecular structure. tRNAs have two regions of fundamental functional importance: the anti-codon, which is responsible for specific mRNA codon recognition, and the 3' end, to which the tRNAs corresponding amino acid is attached (by aminoacyl-tRNA synthetases). tRNAs cope with the degeneracy of the genetic code in two manners: having more than one tRNA (with a specific anti-codon) for a particular amino acid; and 'wobble' base-pairing, i.e. permitting non-standard base-pairing at the 3rd anti-codon position. Lineage: Eukaryota; Metazoa; Chordata; Mammalia; Artiodactyla; Bovidae. The record is from Rfam by way of RNAcentral. RNAcentral also lists the same sequence under 1 other name.